UGGGGAAUAUUGCACAAUGGGCGCAAGCCUGAUGCAGCCAUGUCGCGUGUGUGAAGAAGGCCUUCGGGUUGUAAAGCACUUUCAGCGAGGAGGAAGGUGGUGAGCUUAAUACGCUCAUCAAUUGACGUUACUCGCAGAAGAAGCACCGGCUAACUCCGUGCCAGCAGCCGCGGUAAUACGGAGGGUGCAAGCGUUAAUCAGAAUUACUGGGCGUAAAGCGCACGCAGGCGGUUUGUUAGGUCAGAUGUGAAAUCCCCGGGCUCAACCUGGGAACUGCAUUUGAAACUGGCAAGCUAGAGUCUCGUAGAGGGGGGUAGAAUUCCAGGUGUAGCGGUGAAAUGCGUAGAGAUCUGGAGGAAUACCGGUGGCGAAGGCGGCCCCCUGGACGAAGACUGACGCUCAGGUGCGAAAGCGUGGGGCAGCAAACAGGAUUAGAUACCCUGGUAGUCCACGCUGUAAACGAUGUCGACUUUGGGGGUUGUGCCCUUNAGGCGUGGCUUCCGGAGCUAACGCGUUAAAUCGACCGCCUGGGGAG
This 535-nucleotide ribosomal RNA is filed under the name uncultured bacterium. RNAcentral describes it as "partial 16S ribosomal RNA". It matches the Rfam family "Bacterial small subunit ribosomal RNA", at positions 355 to 880 of the family's 1533-position model. The record is from RNAcentral.